RNAcentral lists this transfer RNA (72 nucleotides) under Camelus bactrianus (Bactrian camel). It matches the Rfam family "tRNA". Rfam says of the family: Transfer RNA (tRNA) molecules are approximately 80 nucleotides in length. The record is from Rfam by way of RNAcentral. Lineage: Eukaryota; Metazoa; Chordata; Mammalia; Artiodactyla; Camelidae. RNAcentral also lists the same sequence under 2 other names.
GAGGGCACAGCUCAGUGGUGGAGCGCAGGCUUGGCAUGCCUGAGGUCCUGGGUUCAAUCCCCAGUGCCUCCA